UGGUUCACGGGAACCUCGGUUUCAUUAUCAAGUGGAUGUACACACGAAUCUAUAAAAUCUGUAUCCGUACAUAUGUACGUAUGUGUAAUUUUUUUUUUUCCUUCCCAUUUUGCACCAUUAAUUUGAAGAAGAACCAGAAUUUGAUUACAGAGAUAGGGCAGUGCCGAAAAUGGGGUCGGAGAAUGAUUAUCAGAUGAAUGUGGUGAAGGGGGAGUUCGGAUACGUACUCGAAGAUGUCCCUCAUUUCGCCGAUUACAUCCCCGAUCUCCCUACUUAUCCUAAUCCACUACGAUCCAAUCCUGCAUAUUCAGUUGUUAAGCAGUACUUCGUUGACAUGGAUGACACUGUCCCCCAAAAGAUUGUUGUUCACAAGGACACUCCAAGAGGGGUACAUUUUCGACGAGCUGGACCUCGCCAAAAGGUAUAUUUUGCAUCAGAUGAGGUGCAAGCUUGUAUUGUGACAUGUGGUGGUUUAUGUCCUGGGCUAAACACAGUAAUCAGGGAAAUUGUACAUAGCCUUGAUUGCAUGUAUGGUGUCAACAAAGUCCUUGGAAUUGAUGGAGGCUAUAGGGGCUUUUAUUCAAAAAAUACCAUUACUUUAACUCCAAAGUCUGUUAAUGACAUACAUAAACGUGGUGGGACAAUCCUGGGAACAUCUCGAGGUGGCCAUGAUACCAUGAAGAUUGUUGACAGCAUUCAGGAUCGUGGAAUUAAUCAGGUUUAUAUAAUUGGUGGAGAUGGAACUCAGAAAGGAGCUGCUGUAAUCUAUGAGGAAAUCAGAAAGCGUGGUCUAAAGGUUGUCGUUGCUGGUAUCCCCAAGACAAUUGACAAUGACAUUCCGGUCAUUGACAAGUCAUUUGGUUUUGAUACUGCUGUAGAGGAGGCUCAACGUGCCAUCAAUGCUGCACAUGUUGAAGCUGAGAGUGCAGAUAAUGGCAUUGGUGUGGUGAAGCUAAUGGGUCGCUACAGUGGAUUUAUUGCAAUGUAUGCUACUCUGGCUAGCCGAGAUGUUGACUGCUGUUUGAUUCCGGAAUCACCCUUCUAUCUUGAAGGAGAAGGUGGACUUUUUGAAUACAUAGAGAGAUGUCUCAAAGAAAAUGGGCACAUGGUGAUUGUGAUAGCUGAAGGAGCAGGACAGGAGCUACUUGCAGCAAAAAAUGAAGAGGAUGCUUCAGGGAACAGGCUACUUCAAGACGUUGGUUUGUGGAUUUCUCAAAAAAUCAAGGAUCAUUUUGCCAACGAACUUAAGAUGCUCCUUACACUAAAAUAUAUAGAUCCGACUUAUAUGAUUCGUGCUAUUCCAAGUAAUGCAUCUGAUAAUGUAUACUGCACUCUCCUUGCUCAAAGUGCUGUUCAUGGAGCAAUGGCAGGUUACACAGGCUUCACUACCGGACUUGUCAAUGGCCGGCAUACAUUUAUUCCCUUUAAUCGAAUUACUGAAAGGCAAAACGAGGUUGUCACAACUGACAGGAUGUGGGCAAGGCUUCUUUCAUCGACCAAUCAACCAAGCUUCAUCGGCCCUAAAGAAGCGUCUGAGAUCAGAAAACAGAAAACACCUGCAACCCAGUUACUGGAUGACGGGGAGGAUUGCACUGACUAGAGGGCAGGUAAUACAGAAACCAGCACGACAUGAAAUAAAAGCGCUUAAUCUCGGAUAUCUACCAUAAUGUCGGAUUAACCCGGUUAUGUAGGAACAUCCUUCAAGGUUACCAGUCUGAUUAGAUGCCUCAGCUGCGUGCAAUGACUUUAAUUUCAAGUUUUUUGAAUAAGAGAUGUGCAACCUAAAAUGUUUAAUGUAUUUGAUAGGGUUGAGAGGGAUUAUUAUUUGCAUCUUCCUUUCAGUGACACUUUUUAUCCAUGCAAUAAAUAGAUAUGAUGGGAAAUUAA
Molecule: RNA transcript, 1887 nt
Organism: Olea europaea var. sylvestris
Lineage: Eukaryota; Viridiplantae; Streptophyta; Magnoliopsida; Lamiales; Oleaceae
Gene name: ATP-dependent 6-phosphofructokinase 3-like
Exons: 14
Source: RefSeq, a predicted model, not a curated record